Molecule: ribosomal RNA, 253 nt
Filed under: uncultured bacterium
Lineage: Bacteria
Description: partial 16S ribosomal RNA
Rfam family: Bacterial small subunit ribosomal RNA
Source: RNAcentral
UACAGAGGUCUCAAGCGUUGUUCGGAUUCAUUGGGCGUAAAGGGUGCGUAGGCGGCGCGGUAAGUCGGGUGUGAAAUCUCGGAGCUUAACUCCGAAACUGCAUUCGAUACUGCCGUGCUUGAGGACUGGAGAGGAGACUGGAAUUUACGGUGUAGCGGUGAAAUGCGUAGAUAUCGUAAGGAAGACCAGUGGCGAAGGCGGGUCUCUGGACAGUUCCUGACGCUGGGGCACGAAGGUCAGGGGAGCAAACGGG